Molecule: unclassified non-coding RNA, 110 nt
Filed under: Schizosaccharomyces pombe (fission yeast)
Lineage: Eukaryota; Fungi; Ascomycota; Schizosaccharomycetes; Schizosaccharomycetales; Schizosaccharomycetaceae
Description: non-coding RNA (predicted)
Source: RNAcentral
UUAUCGGGAAUAAUGAACUUUUACAUGUUAUUAAUGUUUCUGGUUAUGAUAUCUAAUUUUUUUUUCGACAAAAGAUGUAAAACCCCAUUAAAUUGCUGUUUACUUGUUCU